Molecule: ribosomal RNA, 460 nt
Filed under: uncultured bacterium
Lineage: Bacteria
Description: partial 16S ribosomal RNA
Rfam family: Bacterial small subunit ribosomal RNA
Source: RNAcentral
CCUACGGGUAGCUGCAGUGAGGAAUAUUGGUCAAUGGACGCAAGUCUGAACCAGCCAUGUAGCGUGAAGGAUGACUGCCCUAUGGGUUGUAAACUUCUUUUGUAUGGGAAUAAAAUGUUCCACGUGUGUGAUUUUGUAAGUACCAUACGAAUAAGGAUCGGCUAACUCCGUGCCAGCAGCCGCGGUAAUACGGAGGAUCCGAGCGUUAUCCGGAUUUAUUGGGUUUAAAGGGUGCGUAGGUGGAUUGUUAAGUUAGUGGUGAAAGUCUGGGGCUCAACCGUAAAAUUGCAGUUGAUACUGGCAGUCUUGAGUACAGUAGAGGUGGGCGGAAUGCGUGGUGUAGCGGUGAAAUGCUUAGAUAUCACGAAGAACACCGAUUGCGAAGGCAGUUCACUGGACUGCAACUGACACUGAGGCUCGAAAGUGUGGGGAUCAAACAGGAUUAGAUACCCCUGUAGUC